GUUGAUAUAGAAGUUGGAGUUCCGUUGGGAUGAUUCAGGUUCAUCUGGCUUCGGUUCUUUGUCACGGCUCUUCUUGAGCUGGAUCUGAUCUUGAUGAACCUCCAAAGGUGUCAAAGAAACAAGCGUGAUCUUCUUUCCUUUAUGAUCAAAGGUGUGUCGGUUUGUGAAGCCAUCAUGCACGGCUCUCUUAUCAAAUUGCCAUGGCCGGCCCAAGAUAAUGUGGCAUGCGUCCAUAGGAAGAACGUUGCAAACGACCUCGUCCUCAUAUCGGCCAAUGGUGUAAUAGGGACAGUGACUUGCUCUUUCACAUACUGUUCUCCAGCCUCGUUUUGCCAUUCCAACCUGAAAGGACGAGAGAGUGGCCGAGUAGCAAGUCCUAGUUUCCUGACAAGAGUGUCACUAGCAACAUUAGUACAAC
Molecule: long non-coding RNA, 418 nt
Filed under: Brassica napus (rape)
Lineage: Eukaryota; Viridiplantae; Streptophyta; Magnoliopsida; Brassicales; Brassicaceae
Description: long non-coding RNA (BNAP_LNC025333)
Source: RNAcentral